GGGAGAUGGUGGACGGCUGACGGUGAUCCCUGUCGAUCGCUGAGGAAAGUCCUCCCUCCUCAAGACACCGGAGCCCGGUGCAAGCCGGGGACGCGAGAGCGUCGGCAAUGGAGCAGGAACGAACCACCACGCCAUACGGGAUGAAGGACUAGGUCCGGACGUCGGCGUGGAAAGGGUGAAACGGCCAACCCUCCGGGGAGCAAGCCCAAAUGUCCGAACUGACCCGUCUUGGGAUCGGAAGGUAGGGUGCAAAGGUAAAUGCCGUCUUCCCUGCCACUCGAUGGCAGGGUCAACAGAAGGAGGCUUACGGCCAUUACCC
RNAcentral lists this RNase P RNA (319 nucleotides) under Thermoplasmata archaeon. RNAcentral's name for it is "RNase P RNA component". It matches the Rfam family "Archaeal RNase P". From Rfam's summary of the family: Ribonuclease P (RNase P) is a ubiquitous endoribonuclease, found in archaea, bacteria and eukarya as well as chloroplasts and mitochondria. Its best characterised activity is the generation of mature 5'-ends of tRNAs by cleaving the 5'-leader elements of precursor-tRNAs. The record is from RNAcentral. Lineage: Archaea; Methanobacteriati; Thermoplasmatota; Thermoplasmata.